RNAcentral lists this ribosomal RNA (629 nucleotides) under uncultured bacterium. RNAcentral's name for it is "bacterial SSU rRNA". It matches the Rfam family "Bacterial small subunit ribosomal RNA", at positions 232 to 872 of the family's 1533-position model. The record is from RNAcentral.
CGCGGCCUAUCAGCUUGUUGGUGAGGUAAUGGCUCACCAAGGCGACGACGGGUAGCCGGCCUGAGAGGGCGACCGGCCACACUGGGACUGAGACACGGCCCAGACUCCUACGGGAGGCAGCAGUGGGGAAUAUUGCACAAUGGGCGAAAGCCUGAUGCAGCGACGCCGCGUGAGGGAUAACGGCCUUCGGGUUGUAAACCUCUUUCAGCAGGGAAGAAGCGAAAGUGACGGUACCUGCAGAAGAAGCGCCGGCUAACUACGUGCCAGCAGCCGCGGUAAUACGUAGGGCGCAAGCGUUGUCCGGAAUUAUUGGGCGUAAAGAGCUCGUAGGCGGCUUGUCACGUCGGGUGUGAAAGCCCGGGGCUUAACCCCGGGUCUGCAUUCGAUACGGGCUAGCUAGAGUGUGGUAGGGGAGAUCGGAAUUCCCGGUGUAGCGGUGAAAUGCGCAGAUAUCAGGAGGAACACCGGUGGCGAAGGCGGAUCUCUGGGCCAUUACUGACGCUGAGGAGCGAAAGCGUGGGGAGCGAACAGGAUUAGAUACCCUGGUAGUCCACGCCGUAAACGGUGGGAACUAGGUGUUGGCGACAUUCCACGUCGUCGGUGCCGCAGCUAACGCAUUAAGUCCCCGC